Molecule: non-coding RNA, 462 nt
Organism: Paramuricea clavata
Lineage: Eukaryota; Metazoa; Cnidaria; Anthozoa; Malacalcyonacea; Plexauridae
Source: the annotation of a GenBank genome assembly
UUUAAAACAUUAUAAAAAAGAAACAAUAAAAUAAUAACAGGUAUUUUAUGAAAACCUCUUCAUAUUAUUCUCACACUGCAGAGAACAAUGGAGAAUUGGUUAACUCAAGCAGGAUUUGCAUGAACUCGCAUCUUCGUGUUUCUAGGAUGUUGCUCAACCAAAUGAGCUAUCAUCACUAUUGUGUCAAUUGAAAUGGUAGUGAUCGAAACAUGCACAAAAUACCUUUGCGAUGGCUUAUUGCUUGUAUUGGACAAUUAUCACUUAUUUACUGAGACCGAGGGAAACAGUGUGUUUUGUGGACCCGAGACCGUCGAUGUUUCCCGAGGUGAAGCCGAGGGAAACAUCGACGGUCGAGGGUCCACAAAACACACUGCUUUCCUGAGGUCUCAGUAAAUAAGUGUUUUAUUAUAUAUCAAUAGUCAAAGAAACAACAAAUUAAAGAACAAAUGAACGUAAAUACAU